AUUGAACGCUGGCGGCAUGCUUUACACAUGCAAGUCGAACGGCAGCGCGGGGGCAACCCUGGCGGCGAGUGGCGAACGGGUGAGUAAUGCAUCGGAACGUAUCCUGUAAUGGGGGAUAACGUAGCGAAAGUUACGCUAAUACCGCAUACGCUCGAGAGAGGAAAGUGGGGGAUCGCAAGACCUCACGUUAUAGGAGCGGCCGAUGUCCGAUUAGCUAGUUGGUGGGGUAAAGGCCUACCAAGGCGACGAUCGGUAGCUGGUCUGAGAGGAUGAUCAGCCACACUGGGACUGAGACACGGCCCAGACUCCUACGGGAGGCAGCAGUGGGGAAUUUUGGACAAUGGGCGAAAGCCUGAUCCAGCCAUGCCGCGUGCGGGAAGAAGGCCUCGGUUGUAACG
RNAcentral lists this ribosomal RNA (398 nucleotides) under uncultured bacterium. RNAcentral describes it as "bacterial SSU rRNA". It matches the Rfam family "Bacterial small subunit ribosomal RNA", at positions 29 to 430 of the family's 1533-position model. The record is from RNAcentral.